Molecule: ribosomal RNA, 437 nt
Filed under: uncultured bacterium
Lineage: Bacteria
Description: bacterial SSU rRNA
Rfam family: Bacterial small subunit ribosomal RNA
Source: RNAcentral
AUUGAAGAUUUAUCUGAUUGAAGUUUGUAACAAUGGCUUAGUGGCGGACUGGUGAGUAACACGUAAGCAACCUGCCUAUUAGAGGGGAACAACAGUUAGAAAUGACUGCUAAUACCGCAUAUGCCAUAGUGAGGACAUCCUCACAGUGGGAAAGGAGCAAUCCGCUAAUAGAUGGGCUUGCGUCUGAUUAGCUAGUUGGUGGGGUAACGGCCUACCAAGGCGACGAUCAGUAGCCGGUCUGAGAGGAUGAACGGCCACAUUGGGACUGAGAUACGGCCCAGACUCCUACGGGAGGCAGCAGUGGGAAUAUUGGGCAAUGGGGGAAACCCUGACCCAGCAACGCCGCGUGAAGGAAGAAGGCUUUCGGGUUGUAAACUUCUUUACCAGGGACGAAGGACGUGACGGUACCUGGAGAAAAAGCCACGGCUAACUACGUG